AUACGGAGGGUGCAAGCGUUAAUCGGAUUUAUUGGGCGUAAAGAGCGCGUAGGCGUUUUAGAAAGUCGAACGUGAAAACCCAGGGCUCAACCCUGGGACUGCAUUCGAAACUUCUAGAAUUGAGGGUGGACGGAGAGAGCGGAAUUCCACGUGUAGCGGUGAAAUGCGUAGAUAUGUGGAAGAACACCGGUGGCGAAAGCGGCUCUCUAGUUUACUCCUGACGCUGAGGCGCGAGAGCAAGGGGAGCAAACAGGAUUAGAAACCCCAGUAGUCC
This 274-nucleotide ribosomal RNA is filed under the name uncultured bacterium. RNAcentral describes it as "partial 16S ribosomal RNA". It matches the Rfam family "Bacterial small subunit ribosomal RNA", at positions 523 to 796 of the family's 1533-position model. The record is from RNAcentral.